RNAcentral lists this ribosomal RNA (429 nucleotides) under Chloroflexota bacterium. RNAcentral describes it as "Chloroflexi bacterium partial 16S ribosomal RNA". It matches the Rfam family "Bacterial small subunit ribosomal RNA", at positions 355 to 776 of the family's 1533-position model. Lineage: Bacteria; Bacillati; Chloroflexota. The record is from RNAcentral.
UGGGGAAUAUUGCACAAUGGGCGCAAGCCUGAUGCAGCCAUGCCGCGUGUAUGAAGAAGGCCUUCGGGUUGUAAAGUACUUUCAGCGGGGAGGAAGGGAGUAAAGUUAAUACCUUUGCUCAUUGACGUUACCCGCAGAAGAAGCACCGGCUAACUCCGUGCCAGCAGCCGCGGUAAUACGGAGGGUGCAAGCGUUAAUCGGAAUUACUGGGCGUAAAGCGCACGCAGGCGGUUUGUUAAGUCAGAUGUGAAAUCCUCGGGCUCAACCUGGGAACUGCAUCUGAUACUGGCAAGCUUGAGUCUCGUAGAGGGGGGUAGAAUUCCAGGUGUAGCGGUGAACUGCGUAGAGAUCUGGAGGAAUACCGGUGGCGAAGGCGGCCCCCUGGACGAAGACUGACGCUCAGGUGCGAAAGCGUGGGGAGCAAACAGG